This 818-nucleotide ribosomal RNA is filed under the name uncultured Pseudomonadota bacterium. RNAcentral describes it as "bacterial SSU rRNA". It matches the Rfam family "Bacterial small subunit ribosomal RNA", at positions 62 to 855 of the family's 1533-position model. The record is from RNAcentral. Lineage: Bacteria; Pseudomonadati; Pseudomonadota.
UCGGACGAGAAAAGAGACUUCGGUCUCUGAGUACAGUGGCGCACGGGUGCGUAACACGUAAGUAAUCUACCCCAAACCCUGGGAUAACUCUCCGAAAGGAGAGCUAAUACUGGAUAGUGUCCUUGAAGUGGAGACUGCAAGGGGAAAACAAGCCUCUGUUGCAUGCUUGCGGUUUGGGAUGAGCUUGCGGCCCAUUAGCUUGUUGGUAGGGUAAUGGCCUACCAAGGCGACGAUGGGUAGCUGGUCUGAGAGGAUGAUCAGCCACACUGGCACUGAGACACGGGCCAGACUCCUACGGGAGGCAGCAGUGGGGAAUUUUGCGCAAUGGGCGAAAGCCUGACGCAGUAACGCCGCGUGGAGGAUGAAGGCCUUCGGGUUGUAAACUCCUGUCAGGGGGAACGACGGGGAAAGGGUGAUAAGCGCUUUCUCCCAGACGGUACCUCCAAAGGAAGCCCCGGCUAAUUCCGUGCCAGCAGCCGCGGUAAUACGGAAGGGGCAAGCGUUGUUCGGAAUCAUUGGGCGUAAAGGGCGUGUAGGUGGUUCUGUAUGUCUACCGUGAAAGCGUACGGCUCAACCGUAUUUAGUCGGUAGAAACUGCAGGACUUGAGGCUGGGAGGGGCUGGUGGAAUUCCCCGUGUAGCGGUGAAAUGCGUAGAGAUGGGGGAGAACACUCGUGGCGAAGGCGGCCAGCUAGACCAGUUCUGACACUGAGGCGCGACAGCGUGGGGAGCAAACAGGAUUAGAUACCCUGGUAGUCCACGCUGUAAACGAUGGGCACUAGGUGCUGGCGGUCUUGAUCCCGUCGGUGCCGGCGCUAA